This 206-nucleotide ribosomal RNA is filed under the name uncultured bacterium. RNAcentral's name for it is "partial 16S ribosomal RNA". It matches the Rfam family "Bacterial small subunit ribosomal RNA", at positions 1296 to 1500 of the family's 1533-position model. The record is from RNAcentral.
GAUUGUAGUCUGCAACCCGACUACAUGAAGCUGGAAUCGCUAGUAAUCGCGAAUCAGAAUGUCGCGGUGAAUACGUUCCCCGGGUCUUGUACACACCGCCCGUCACACCAUGGGAGUCGGAAAUGCCCGAAGUCAGUGACCCAACCGCAAGGAGGGAGCUGCCGAAGGUGGAGCCGGUAACUGGGGUGAAGUCGUAACAAGGUACC